This 465-nucleotide ribosomal RNA is filed under the name uncultured bacterium. Its description in RNAcentral is "partial 16S ribosomal RNA". It matches the Rfam family "Bacterial small subunit ribosomal RNA", at positions 28 to 507 of the family's 1533-position model. The record is from RNAcentral.
GACGAACGCUGGCGGCGUGCUUAACACAUGCAAGUCGAACGGAAAGGCCCCUUUGGGGGUACUCGAGUGGCGAACGGGUGAGUAACACGUGAGUAACCUGCCCUUGACUUCGGGAUAACUUCAGGAAACUGGGGCUAAUACCGGAUAGGAAUCCUUGCUGCAUGGUGGGGGUUGGAAAGCUUCGGCGGUUUUGGAUGGACUCGCGGCUUAUCAGCUUGUUGGUGGGGUAGUGGCUUACCAAGGCUUUGACGGGUAGCCGGCCUGAGAGGGCGACCGGCCAUAUGGGGACGGGGAGACGGCCAAGCCUCCUAGGGGGGGAAGAAGGGGGGAAUUUUGAAAAAGGGGCGGAGGCCGGAUGCAGCACCCCGGGGGGGGGGAUGAGGGCUUGGGGGUGGAAACCGGUUUACAGGGGGGGCGAGGCUGGUGGUGAGGGUACCUGAAGAAAAAGCCCCGGCUAACUACGUG